CAGCAGCCGCGGUAAUACAGAGGGUGCGAGCGUUAAUUGGAUUUACUGGGCGUAAAGCGUGCGUAGGCGGCUUCUUAAGUCGGAUGUGAAAUCCCUGAGCUUAACUUAGGAAUUGCAUUCGAUACUGGGAAGCUAGAGUAUGGGAGAGGAUGGUAGAAUUCCAGGUGUAGCGGUGAAAUGCGUAGAGAUCUGGAGGAAUACCGAUGGCGAAGGCAGCCAUCUGGCCUAAUACUGACGCUGAGGUACGAAAGCAUGGGGAGCAAACAGGAUUAGAUACCCGGGUAGUCCCUGUCUCUUAUAC
RNAcentral lists this ribosomal RNA (301 nucleotides) under uncultured bacterium. RNAcentral's name for it is "partial 16S ribosomal RNA". It matches the Rfam family "Bacterial small subunit ribosomal RNA", at positions 509 to 807 of the family's 1533-position model. The record is from RNAcentral.